AUUCACAGUAGCUGGAACUGGCUUGAGUGUUUUCUUUAUAUUGUGGCUCUAUUAAAAGGGCACUGCUUCCUUUUUGUGUGGGCUUUAGUCACUGCAUUACUCACCGAGACCGCUGGACGGCUUCAGGCCACUUGAGGAGCGAGUGACACCGGAGCAGUUGACUGUGUUUCGCUUGAGCAAGCACAAGCAAGGUUGCUCAUCUCUGGAACACAGAAGAUGGUAUCGGAAAUGGGACAUACAUAAUAUCAGGAUAGGGUGUCACUAUGUUGUCUAGGCUGGUCUUGAACUCCUGGGCUCGAGCCAUUCUCCAGCCUCAGACUUCUGAGCAGCUGUGAUUACAGGCACGUGCCAUUGUACCUGGUGAGACAUGUUUUAUAGUUCCUCUUAACCCUAUAGCACUGACCUUCCAGGACAAUUCCCCUGUUUCCCUUGCAGAGAGGAGAGUGUCUCCGGAGACAGGUAGAUAAUAGAUGUGGCCAAAGAUGUGCAAUAGUGGGAGAAGACACAGGUGGGCAGAAGGUGAUGAAACCUCUUUUGCUGAAGUCAAUAUUUGUUUGGAAAAAGAGACGUCGACAAAGGUGCUUUUCAUUUUAACCUGUUACAUGGCUGCAGUGACCAUGUCCAUGUAUUCUAACAAAGAGUUCCAGCAGAGAAGAAUGCCAGACAGUGUUAGGAAGCCUCUGCAUAUUCUAGUGGAUGUCAGUGGUUUCUAAAUGAACCUCCCUAACCUGUUAUGUUACUAUUCUUGUUGGAACUCAUUGUCCUUAGAUAAAAGCCCAAUUUUUAAGUACUACUAGCAUAACUCUGUACAAGCUGGAUCUUCUUUAGUUCUUUAUUCUUAUCUCCUGGUACUCUCCACCUUGAACUCCAUGCUGGCUUCAUGCCAAAUGAACCUUCUCUCAGUUUCUUAAAUAUACCAUUGUCUCUCUCCUGUAUACCUUCAUGGAUGCUGUUUCCUCUUUUGGAAACACUCUCUAUCCUUUCCGCCACUCCAAUCUCCCCCUUUACUUGGUAAUCCUUAUCCUUCAGAGAAUAGCUUAAAGGUCAUUCCCACCAGCGAACCUUCCCUACCUGCAACCAUGAAGUGUGGGUCUGGGGUUCCUGGUGUGUGCUCCCAGGGCACAUUCCCCUUUCCCUGCCCUGGCGCUCCUCACACAUGGCAGUGUGUUUACUUAUCUGUCUGCACCACAAGUGCCCUGUUCCUGAGGGCAGAGGUCACAACUCUCCUAUUCGUUAUUGUAUCCCCUCUCCUGUUUAUCAUUGUAUCAGGCCUAACACAGUGCCUGGCACACAGCAGGGCAGGCUUUCUACAAAUAUUUGUUGAAUGAGAAAAUAUAUGCAUAAAAGUAUUAUUUUCCAAUUUGUGAAGCCAGCUUCUCAGAAAGAAAAUGGAGUUUAUGAGCAGAGCUUUCCAGUAAAUUUGUAUUUAGUCAUAAUACUACAAACAAGCAUAUCAUUAUUUCUUUAUUUCUUGGUUUUGAAUGGUAAUUAUUUUUGCAAGUUCUGAGUAUUUGCACCAAUUUAUGAAAUACAAGCAGUAAUGAAAUACAAGCAAUUUAUGAAACACAAGCAAUAUUAAACAUGACAGUAGAUGGCUCCUGUUUAUAGGUGAUGCCGGUAACAUUCUAGAAAUAAAUGGCUUGAUUGGAAACUUCUGUUUAAAAAAAAUGUGGGAAGUGAAGGGAAUGAGUUGGCCUUUAACAAAGAGAAAGAGAAUACGAUCAUUUUCUAAAUAUAAUAAAUAGAAUAUCAUAUUUAAUCUAUGUAUGCUUACAUGUAGAAAUAAUUUUUACGACAUCAUGAAACUGGUAAAAUAUGAGGCAGAUAAACUUAGGGGAAGUGAUUUUUCUGGUUAUGAAAUACACUUUUCCCCAAGGUACUCAUAAUUUUAGUUAUUUGUAAAUAAUUUUACUUCAUAAAAGCAUAUUUCUAAGUGAAUGUUUCUGAAAUAUUAAGUUCUUGCAAUAUCUGAGGUUUGUUAAGCAGGUAUUUAGUUAAGCAGGUAUUUAGUUAAGUUAAGCAGGUAUUUAGUUAAGUUAAGCAGGUAUUUAGUUAAGUUAAGCAGGUAUUUAGUCUCAUUUCUGUCUUACAACUCAGCAACCAGAGGUGUUCAGUGCAUCAGAAAGGAGGAAUAUAAGCAUGUUCGAUAGAGUGAUUCUGUCCAAGGUGUUUGCAUACUCAUUUUAUCCUUUCAGCAACCCCGCACAGGGUGCUCUGCUUAUUUUCCGCGUUAUAGAAAAAAACAUCAAAAUGCAGAGCAGGUAAGCAGCUUGCUCAAGACCACCGAGUGAGUUUGAGGCCAUCCUUAUGAAAGAAGAGAAAGGAAGAAAAAAAAAAAACAGUUAAGGCAAGUCCUCAGCAGAGGAUUUAAACAGAGAAACAGCCUGGAAAAUCAAGCUGCAGCUGCACAGAUAAGGGAGCAAAGCUCAACAUAGAAACACCUUUAUUCUUUGUGUAAUCAGCGGGCGCCUAGGAAAAAGUUUCUUUUCCUUUCAUGGACCUGUACAUGGUGGGCUCCCUGGGAACUUACAUGGGGCGGGGGGCUUGCCUAAAACAUGCCUACAGUUGCUCAGACAACAGAAGUGUUACUCCCUGUGCUUGCGUAAGACACGCCCGCAGCUGCACAGAAAAGGGCAGUUACACAAGCAGCUAUAUAGACAGGGGAAGUUACACAGCUAUACAGAUAAAGAAAGUUUCUUAUACAAACUUUUGCAUUCAACUGUAAAAAUGGAAACCCUCUUGGGACCCCUCUCUGCUGUGGAGAGCUUUCUUCUGUUGCUUAUUAAACUUUUGCUCCAACCUCAUCCUUGGUGUCCUUGCUUUUUAAUUUCCUUGGUUGUGAGACCAAGAGCUCAGAUAACACCUCAGACAAUAAGACUGCUUCAUUGACCCUAGACCGUUUCACCAAUGGCCUAAGCACUCAUGCUCUUUGUAACACACUGAGGAUAUGGUACAGAAAUUGCCUUCGUAUCAACUGAGCCCAGGCUCUUGAGCCUCAGCUGACGAUUCCACACAACAGACUAUGUCUGCCCCAUUCAAAUAACUUUUAGCAAUAUAAGCAACAUUAAUCAGAACAGAGUAUUUCUGGGAGCAAAAUAUAUGAGUUUGAAUUCUAGCUCCAUGUUCUACUAACUGUGUAAAUUGAGCCAGCUUUUUUUUUUUUUUUUUUUUUUUGAGAUAGAGUUGUUUUGCUCUUGUUGCCCAGGCUGGAGUGCAAUGGCGUGAUCUCAUGAGCCAGUUUCUUCACCAACCUUUUUAUUUCAUGUUCCUCAUUAUAUUAAAUAGGUAUUAACUAACUCAUUGGAUUCUUCUGAGGAUGAAAUAUCAUAAUGUAUGUAAAUUUCUUAACUGAGUAUUGAGCACAUAGUAAAUGCACCCCCCAAAUCAGACAUUUUUAAUAUAAAGCUUGAUCAAUAUUUUAUCUAUCCAUUAUUAAUGAUUUAAUAUAAUUGCAUUAAAACAAUAUUUUAUUGAAGAAAUAAAGAAAUAAUGUACAUUUACAUGUGCAAUAAACUAAACUAUAUAACAUGUAACUCUAAAACAUCUGAGCCCAUGAUUCAGAAUCAUUAGCUGGUUAUCAGCACUUUAGAAUCUGUAAAAUAUAUGUAAAUAUGUUUGCUAUCUUUAUAGUUUCUAUGCACAUUUUCACUUGGAGUAGAAAGGUUAAUACAAUGUGUACAACUGUAGUAUUUUGUAUUAUCUUUUUGUUUUCUUUCACUUUUGAUUACUUU
This 3731-nucleotide long non-coding RNA is filed under the name Homo sapiens (human). Its description in RNAcentral is "HSALNT0393656". Lineage: Eukaryota; Metazoa; Chordata; Mammalia; Primates; Hominidae. The record is from RNAcentral.